Molecule: ribosomal RNA, 216 nt
Filed under: Glomeromycotina sp.
Lineage: Eukaryota; Fungi; Glomeromycota
Description: partial small subunit ribosomal RNA
Rfam family: Eukaryotic small subunit ribosomal RNA (bases 40-216)
Source: RNAcentral
GGGUCAUUAGGUUGGUCGUGCCACCGGUACGUACUGGUCUCACUGAUUCCUCCUUCCUGAAGAACCGUAAUGCCAUUAAUUUGGUGUUGCGGGGAAACAGGACUGUUACUUUGAAAAAAUUAGAGUGUUUAAAGCAAGCUAACGCUUGAAUACAUUAGCAUGGAAUAAUGAAAUAGGUCGAUCGAUCCUAUUUUGUUGGUUUCUAGGAUUGACGUA